GAAUUCGAUUAACGCGAAGAACCUUACCUGGGCUCGAAAUGUAGUGGAAUCCGGCAGAAACGUCGGCGUCUAGCAAUAGACCGCUAUAUAGGUGCUGCAUGGCUGUCGUCAGCUCGUGUCGUGAGAUGUUGGGUUAAGUCCCGCAACGAGCGCAACCCUUGUCGUUAGUUGCCAGCGGUUCGGCCGGGCACUCUAACGAGACUGCCGGUGUUAAACCGGAGGAAGGUGGGGAUGACGUCAAGUCCUCAUGGCCUUUAUGUCCAGGGCUACACACAUGCUACAAUGGCCGGUACAAACCGCUGCAAACCCGCGAGGGGGAGCUAAUCGGAAAAAGCCGGCUUCAGUUCGGAUUGGAGUCUGCAACUCGACUCCAUGAAGUUGGAAUCGCUAGUAAUCGCGGAUCAGCUACGGCGCCGUGAAUACGUUCCCGGGCCUUGUCACACCGAAUCACUA
Molecule: ribosomal RNA, 453 nt
Filed under: uncultured soil bacterium
Lineage: Bacteria
Description: bacterial SSU rRNA
Rfam family: Bacterial small subunit ribosomal RNA
Source: RNAcentral